This 77-nucleotide transfer RNA is filed under the name Bacillota bacterium. RNAcentral's name for it is "Firmicutes bacterium (gut metagenome) tRNA-Ile". It matches the Rfam family "tRNA". From Rfam's summary of the family: Transfer RNA (tRNA) molecules are approximately 80 nucleotides in length. RNAcentral also lists the same sequence under 1 other name. Lineage: Bacteria; Bacillati; Bacillota. The record is from RNAcentral.
GGGCCAUUAGCUCAGUUGGUUAGAGCUGCCGGCUCAUAACCGGUUGGUCCGGGGUUCGAGUCCCUGAUGGCCCACCA